Molecule: long non-coding RNA, 198 nt
Filed under: Cairina moschata (Muscovy duck)
Lineage: Eukaryota; Metazoa; Chordata; Aves; Anseriformes; Anatidae
Description: domestica (muscovy Duck (domestic type)) lncRNA (ENSCMMG00000000521.1)
Source: RNAcentral
GCUGCAUUUGUUUGCACGUGGAUAUUUUUUGCAUAAGUACAAAGUAUUGAACAAACCAAAGCACUUUAUCAUACCUCAUAGGCCAUGGUUUUUGCUGGACCAAAGAAAAACAAAUCCAACCCAGGAACUGCUUAGCCAGUCACUUGUAUAGUAGCGACAAAGAACUGAUUUGAGACCAGGAAUCAGCUUGAAUCUAGG